RNAcentral lists this long non-coding RNA (1420 nucleotides) under Sarcophilus harrisii (Tasmanian devil). RNAcentral's name for it is "lncRNA (ENSSHAG00000026768.1)". The record is from RNAcentral. Lineage: Eukaryota; Metazoa; Chordata; Mammalia; Dasyuromorphia; Dasyuridae.
CAAAGUUGCUAUGUUUGUUUGAAUUCAUGUCUUUCUGGUUCCAUGGCUGGCUCUGGAUCUACUAUGCCAUCUUGCCUCUGAAUUCUUAUGGAUGGUGUUGAAUAUCUAUAUAUCUAUAUCUAUACAUACAAAUAUACACAUAAACACUUAUUGACAUGAUAUGUUAUUAUAAUGUGAUGAAUAAUGAGUUAGAAAUUCUCUAGAGCCACCAGGAAUACCAGGCAUUUCAAGCAGGUCUCAGACAGUCAGUAGUAGGGGAAAUGUCAGUCACAAGAGUCCUUUGGAGGAGUAUUUCUGUAUCUGAUUUCCUUUUGGGCCUAGAAAUGGCAGGCUCAGGAAAUAGGUAAAAAGGGAAAUAGGUUAUUAAUAGAACAAUCUCCCCUUUUUAUUUUAUUUUAAAGGUUUCUGGGAUUUUUUGUUUGUUUUUCAGAUAAAACCUUGGAUAUCAGGUACUAACAUGACAAAAAAGUCUUACCUGAAUUCUAUGGAACUCCUGCUGUCAAUGAGAGGAUCCAUGAAAGGGAUCAAGGAACUCUGGAGAAUAAGGCUGCCAGGAAAACUUCAGGAAGGAACUUGGUUCCACCCAAGCAGCUGUGAGCAGGUCUUCAAGAAUUCCAGCCUUCAGAAUGCUGUCGCAGUAAUGAACUGCUCUUAGGGAAGAAAGAAAACAUACAGUGUCAGUCAUGACUGGUGACAGGAUGCAAUUAACCCAGGAUCAAAUUGCAGAGAGAUGGAUGGGACCAGAUGGUCCUGUUAUCCUAACAAAGGGAUUAUACAGUAAGUGCCCUUCAGAAGGGAGACAUUUUUCUACAUAGAUCUUUAGAAUGAAAAAAGACAAGAGAAGACUCCUAAUAAUUUCCAAACAUACAUUACAGAAAAGGGAAACUAGUAAAUCAUGUUUUAAAUCUUCAUUUCAGCUCUUAAUUGGUGGCUGGUAAUGCAAUGACAAUGUCAUUUCAGAUGAUGCCAGGAGCUGACUCUACAGAGAAUCAGAAGUUGAAGAAGUCUUAAACAUGAUGAGCUUUCACAUGGAGACUCAGGUAAUCUUGAAUAGAGAUAGACAUCUAAAAAAUAGACAGAGAAUGUACAAAGGAAAAAAAACCUAUUAUUAAUUUAUUUCCUUCAUAAUUUGGGGGGAAGAUAAUGCUAUUCUUUAUUGUCUGAAGUCUAGUAAGAAGGAAGUCAGAGAAAUUGAUGGUUGGUUUCUGAUAUAGUUCAUUUGUGUUGUUAAACAAAAAUAAGAAUAAGGGAAAGAGAAUAGGGUAAAUAAUUACAGAACUUUUAAAGCUUAACCCUACAAAGAAUCUUCCUCUCCAGGCUUCUAGUUCCUUUCUUCCAGCUUGAUACUGUACUAUCCUCCUUUUAGAGAUGGAAAAACUGAGGCACAGUGUUUGACAAAAAUUGAUGGGAUUGACCCACA